This 718-nucleotide ribosomal RNA is filed under the name Dietzia sp. KLBMP 1473. RNAcentral's name for it is "bacterial SSU rRNA". It matches the Rfam family "Bacterial small subunit ribosomal RNA", at positions 72 to 805 of the family's 1533-position model. Lineage: Bacteria; Bacillati; Actinomycetota; Actinomycetes; Mycobacteriales; Dietziaceae. The record is from RNAcentral.
AGGCCCUUUCGGGGGUACACGAGUGGCGAACGGGUGAGUAACACGUGGGUAAUCUGCCCUGCACUUCGGGAUAAGCCUGGGAAACCGGGUCUAAUACCGGAUAUGAGCUCCUGCCGCAUGGUGGGGGUUGGAAAGUUUUUCGGUGCAGGAUGAGUCCGCGGCCUAUCAGCUUGUUGGUGGGGUAAUGGCCUACCAAGGCGACGACGGGUAGCCGGCCUGAGAGGGUGAUCGGCCACACUGGGACUGAGACACGGCCCAGACUCCUACGGGAGGCAGCAGUGGGGAAUAUUGCACAAUGGGCGAAAGCCUGAUGCAGCGACGCCGCGUGGGGGAUGACGGUCUUCGGAUUGUAAACUCCUUUCAGUAGGGACGAAGCGAAAGUGACGGUACCUGCAGAAGAAGCACCGGCCAACUACGUGCCAGCAGCCGCGGUAAUACGUAGGGUGCAAGCGUUGUCCGGAAUUACUGGGCGUAAAGAGCUCGUAGGCGGUUUGUCACGUCGUCUGUGAAAUCCUCCAGCUCAACUGGGGGCGUGCAGGCGAUACGGGCAGACUUGAGUACUACAGGGGAGACUGGAAUUCCUGGUGUAGCGGUGAAAUGCGCAGAUAUCAGGAGGAACACCGGUGGCGAAGGCGGGUCUCUGGGUAGUAACUGACGCUGAGGAGCGAAAGCAUGGGGAGCAAACAGGAUUAGAUACCCUGGUAGUUCCAUGCCGUAA